This 668-nucleotide ribosomal RNA is filed under the name alpha proteobacterium IMCC14990. Its description in RNAcentral is "bacterial SSU rRNA". It matches the Rfam family "Bacterial small subunit ribosomal RNA", at positions 29 to 743 of the family's 1533-position model. The record is from RNAcentral. Lineage: Bacteria; Pseudomonadati; Pseudomonadota; Alphaproteobacteria.
ACGAACGCUGGCGGCAGGCCUAACACAUGCAAGUCGAGCGCACCUUCGGGUGAGCGGCGGACGGGUUAGUAACGCGUGGGAACGUACCCUUUUCUACGGAAUAGCCUUUGGAAACGAAGAGUAAUACCGUAUACGCCCUUUGGGGGAAAGAUUUAUCGGAGAAGGAUCGGCCCGCGUUAGAUUAGAUAGUUGGUGGGGUAACGGCCUACCAAGUCUACGAUCUAUAGCUGGUUUUAGAGGAUGAUCAGCAACACUGGGACUGAGACACGGCCCAGACUCCUACGGGAGGCAGCAGUGGGGAAUCUUAGACAAUGGGCGCAAGCCUGAUCUAGCCAUGCCGCGUGAGUGAUGAAGGCCUUAGGGUCGUAAAGCUCUUUCGCCUGUGAUGAUAAUGACAGUAGCAGGUAAAGAAACCCCGGCUAACUCCGUGCCAGCAGCCGCGGUAAUACGGAGGGGGUUAGCGUUGUUCGGAAUUACUGGGCGUAAAGCGCACGUAGGCGGAUUGGAAAGUUGGGGGUGAAAUCCCGGGGCUCAACCCCGGAACUGCCUCCAAAACUAUCAGUCUAGAGUUCGAGAGAGGUGAGUGGAAUUCCAAGUGUAGAGGUGAAAUUCGUAGAUAUUUGGAGGAACACCAGUGGCGAAGGCAGGCUCUACUGGCUCGAUACUGA